GUUUCUGUAGUUGAAUUACAACGGUGGUUUUUCAUAUCAUUGGUCUGGGUUAAACUCCCGGGGGAAACC
Molecule: transfer RNA, 69 nt
Filed under: Monopenchelys acuta (redface moray)
Lineage: Eukaryota; Metazoa; Chordata; Actinopteri; Anguilliformes; Muraenidae
Description: tRNA-Glu
Rfam family: tRNA
About the family: Transfer RNA (tRNA) molecules are approximately 80 nucleotides in length. Their secondary structure includes four short double-helical elements and three loops (D, anti-codon, and T loops). Further hydrogen bonds mediate the characteristic L-shaped molecular structure. tRNAs have two regions of fundamental functional importance: the anti-codon, which is responsible for specific mRNA codon recognition, and the 3' end, to which the tRNAs corresponding amino acid is attached (by aminoacyl-tRNA synthetases). tRNAs cope with the degeneracy of the genetic code in two manners: having more than one tRNA (with a specific anti-codon) for a particular amino acid; and 'wobble' base-pairing, i.e. permitting non-standard base-pairing at the 3rd anti-codon position.
Source: RNAcentral